CCUAGAGGAGGCUGUUUUUGAUAAAACAAGGCGGGAGAAAAGCGAAACCCUAACCCGCUUUUCUAGAUCCGAAGAUAAUUUCCACUCCAUCGGAGCCACGCGAUUUUUUACCUGCAUGGCUCAGCUGCCGGCCCUUUCUUCAAGCUCCGUUUCUCAAAUCUCCUCCCAUGGAAUCAAGAAAUCCCAGGGGCUCCAGAGCUGUGAAAGUAAUUGCCUAAAAACACCCAACUUUUGCCAGAAGAUACAUUUUACAUAUAGUGGUCACUCAUUCAUUCAACACGUCUCAUGCCAAAAAUUGAACUCUCGUGUACGAGG
This is a long non-coding RNA of Phalaenopsis equestris, 315 nucleotides long. RefSeq lists it as uncharacterized. The record is from RefSeq and is a predicted model, not a curated record. NCBI's taxonomy places the organism in Eukaryota, Viridiplantae, Streptophyta, Magnoliopsida, Asparagales, Orchidaceae. The transcript is spliced from 3 exons.